GUGCUUGGUUUGUCAGCACAUACACUAAAAUUGGAACAAUACACAGAAGAUUAGAAUGGCCCCUCCACAAUGAUGAAUAUCAAAUUUGAAAAGCUUUCCACAUUUUU
This is a small nuclear RNA of Octodon degus (degu), 107 nucleotides long. Lineage: Eukaryota; Metazoa; Chordata; Mammalia; Rodentia; Octodontidae. The record is from Ensembl.